AAAACAUUACAUAGUUCUUGAUAUAUCAUAUUUCACACUUUGAUUCAAGUGGGUUAUGAACUCCCAUUUUUACCCCGUAUACAAAUUGCAGAAUCACAUCAGUUACACAUCCAUUGAUUUACAUAUUGCCAUACUAGUGUCUGUUGUAUUCUGCUGCCUUUCCUGUUCUCUACUGUCCCCCCUCCCCUCCCCUCCCCUCCCCUCUUCUAAUUUUGGCUGAUUUAUGUCAUUGUAUUUCCAUAUUCAUUUUUGAAUUGACUCAUCUAUUUUUAUAAAAAUCUUUUGGAAUUUUGAUUUUGAUUGCAUUGAAUCUACAGAUAAACUUCAGGAGAACUACAUCUUGAAAAUAAUGAUUCAUCUGAUUUCUAAGCAAAGUACAUUAUUUAGGCAUUCUUUAAUCUAAGUAAAAUUUUAAAGUUUUCUCUGUAAAGAUAUUUUACCUAUUUUGUUAGAUUAUCAUUAUGUAUUUUAUAAUUUUGAAGUUAAAGUAGAUGACAUUAUCAUUUGUAAUUUUUCUAUACAAAUAUGAGUUGCUAGUAUAUAGAAACACAAGGGAUUUUUUUUUGGUACUAACUCUAUCCCAAAAUACUGAAAAAUUCAGUUCAUUCUCCAAAUAAUAUUACACAUAU
Molecule: long non-coding RNA, 629 nt
Filed under: Marmota monax (woodchuck)
Lineage: Eukaryota; Metazoa; Chordata; Mammalia; Rodentia; Sciuridae
Source: RNAcentral